RNAcentral lists this ribosomal RNA (122 nucleotides) under prasinophyte sp. MBIC10622. The record is from RNAcentral. Lineage: Eukaryota; Viridiplantae; Chlorophyta.
UGUUUUUGUGUCUUAAGCAUAAUUGAACCACAUUAUUCCAUCUCGAACUAAAUCGUGAAAAGUUAUAGCGGAAGUAUUAUUAAGAGCGGGAGCUCUUGGGAACAACUUCUCGAUGCAAAAUA